Tympanuchus pallidicinctus (lesser prairie-chicken) is the source of this 1816-nucleotide long non-coding RNA. RefSeq lists it as uncharacterized. The record is from RefSeq and is a predicted model, not a curated record. The transcript is spliced from 5 exons. NCBI's taxonomy places the organism in Eukaryota, Metazoa, Chordata, Aves, Galliformes, Phasianidae.
CCAGGGCGCAUGCGCACAGGCACGCGGCGAUGCUGUUCCUCGCUCUGCGCAGGAAAUCCGCCGAGCUUUGUUAUGAUUAGUCCUCGAGGCAACAUAGCACAUGCGCCAGGACAGUCAUAACUAGCAUUCAAAUCUACAAAACCUCGAGGUGCAUGCGAGCAGUCGAUUCCUGGAGCCUGCUUCGGGAACAGACUAUUCUGACUCCUAGCACCCUGCGCCCCUCGCACGCGUAGUGAGGAGUCGAAAACAACGCACGCGUAGGUCUGCAGCGACUGCACCAGUUGCUUGAGCUCUUCCCACUGCAGGAGCUCAGAACUGACAAGAACCCUGACCAAAGCAGCGACUUCAGCAAUCCCGCGUCAUACCGCAACAGAAAUGGGGCACUGCUGUACGUCAGCGAUCUCUGACUCAAGCACAGGGGCUGCACGAAGGACACACGCUGCAGCCUCCCUGUUUCUGUGGGGUUUGGGAUUGAUGUUUGAGCCAAAAGGCCUCGUGCUGCCAUACAGGCAGGUGCUGGGUUCACCCACUGAGGACGCCAAAUCCUAAAAUAAUGUCACAGUGGUCUUCAAUUGCUGUGCGAGGAGAUGACGUGCAUUUCUCCCUGGGGAGCUGUAAGCUGACCCCACAGUGUGGCAGACAGCACCAAAAUGGGAUGCCAUCCUGUACUUUCCUACCCUAGUAACUCCUGGUUCUGCUGGUACACCUCUUGUACCUGGAGCUGGCUCUCCAUCUGGCUGAGACGUCAUCUUUAACACUUCAAAACAAGCCUAAGGAGAAAAGAUUUUGGUGAUGUGACAUGAAAACAGACAGCACAAAUACAGACCAGUAUGACUGAAGAUGUACACGCUGGGUGUUGAAUACCAUUUGGAAACCAAACCCCAGUUACUUGACAGUCCAGGAAAUUUCUCACAGUUGAGCCAUUGUGUUUUCUUCAGAAGUUAGAAAUAAGAUUGGCAGAGUCAUGUCCGUAUUCACCCAUGCAGCAAAGUACUGGAAGAACUGCAUUAUUUCAUCCCACUCUUCAUGCAUGUUCAAAAUAGUCGAUGGGUGAAGGAAUGCUGGCUGGUUUUACGCUAAGAAAAAAUCCUCCACAAGUUCACAUUCAGUACAGUGAAUACACUUUUAUUUUUGCUAGAUGGUCUGCUGGUUUCUCCAGUCAUCUUAUGUAACACGAGGGAACAUUUUGUUGUUUGAAUUUCUAUAACUGCCUAUUUUCUGUGUUCAGAGGAGUAGAUUCCCUUACAUAUGGGGUAUUUUUAACUGGGUAAUGUAACUCAGAGUAAUAACACAUAAAAACAAUCUUCUGUGUUGGUUGUUUGAAAGAAAGCUGUUUAUUCAUUAGAAAUGUUAGAAACAUAAUAAUCCCAUUUGAUAGUUUUUCAUCAGACUGUGAAGUUCCGAGUAGAAAAUAGCACUGAAGUUCAAUUGCACGUUGUAAACAAGUUUUAAUGACAUACACCUUUUUAAAUAUCCCUCAGUAAUGCAUGCUAUUAUUGUCCUCAGGACCACUGGAUCACCUUGUCCUAAUGGUUCAAAGCAUGCAAAAAAUCUUUAUCUGGAAGAAUAUGACAACUGAGAUUUUUUAUUGGUACACAAUAGCACAAUAAAUUCUGUCACCUGUAAUUAACUUGAUGCCAUAGUUCACUGCUGCAGAUCUUAAUGUAAAGAUUGCUGGGGCAAUGCUUUCAGGGCCAAAACUUCAGCCAGACUGUUGUGUGUGUGAAGGAAAGCACUGUAAAUCUCUGAAUUCUGUAUGGAUGGGGCCUUAUAAAUAUUUCUAUAAUUAGUCAGAGCACAGUAAUUUUUUUUUUUC